UCUAAUUGAAUAUGAAGUCCCGAGACAGCGGGCGUCCUUCCAGGGAAGGACUUAAUUAAAGUGCCUGCCGAGGAUGUAACAAUACCGGGUAACGUAUUUGUUAAGGUCCUUGUGCGCCGGCGCAGGGACUUUUUCUUUGGGAGU
Non-coding RNA from Chloroflexi bacterium RBG_16_58_8, 144 nucleotides. Lineage: Bacteria; Bacillati; Chloroflexota. The record is from Rfam.